Molecule: non-coding RNA, 134 nt
Organism: Triticum aestivum (bread wheat)
Lineage: Eukaryota; Viridiplantae; Streptophyta; Magnoliopsida; Poales; Poaceae
Source: Rfam
CAAGUACUCCCUUGUCCGAAAAUACUUGUCAUCAAAAUAGAUAGAAAGGGAUGUAUCUAAAACUAAAAUACGUCUAGAUACAUCUCCUUUUAUUCAUUUUGAUGACAAGUAUUUCAGGACGGGGGGAGUAUGAU